Molecule: long non-coding RNA, 458 nt
Filed under: Linum usitatissimum (flax)
Lineage: Eukaryota; Viridiplantae; Streptophyta; Magnoliopsida; Malpighiales; Linaceae
Description: long non-coding RNA (LUSI_LNC002892)
Source: RNAcentral
AACUAAAAUUUACUAAUAUGAAAUUGCUUGCUUUAAUGAAUCGACUCCAAACUUUAAAUAAUCAAAGUGCAACAAACUUUCUCUGGUCCACUGAAGAUGGAAGCAGGUGUUUAGGGAAACGUGAAUUCAGCAACUGACAGAUAGUAAUGAAGAUCGACUCUUGAACUAAUAAUUGAAAACUAGUAUUGCAGAUGCAAGCAGUUGGAAUAUGGCGGAUGUGAGGCCCUUUUGUCACGAGUCCGAGAACAGAUGAUCAAAGAUGCCCUUAAACAGCUCCCCAAACAGCCCCCCGAAGGCGGCCUUUAACAGCUCCGCCAAAGCGGCCUUCAACAGCCUCUUCAUUAUGGCGAAGUUCCGAUCCUCAUGCCUGACGACCAGAGGUGUCCUCGGAUCCAUCUUUUGUUGUUGAUGAUCAAUACUCGUGUUCUUGGGGCUUGGUGGUGUCUGUGAAGUCUGAA